GAGCUGUUGCUGCGCACCGGUGCGUGAAGGUGUAGAGGUGCUGUCUGGGCCUAGCUUCGCCGCCGGUGGGGCGCCAGCCGACGAGUCGCGCCGCCCCCUGUUGCGCGCGCGUUUUGGCGGGAGGAGGAAGAAGCUCCUGGGCGCUCGGGCCCGCGUGGCAGAGAGAGGAAGGAGAGGAAGGGGAGAAGGGGGCCGGGCGCGCGGCCGUCUGGUGGGCUGCGGCCUUGAGGCCCAGUAGCGUGCGCGCGGGCAACCGGAAGAAAAAAAGGGCGAAGGCCCAGAGAUCCAGCAGGCCGGUUUCGCGGGAAAAGAAGAAAAGAAAGGAUGGGCCGUUGGGCCGAUGUUGGACCAGAGAAAAGAAAAGAAAAAGAGAAUCGGCCCACGAGGCCCGUUAAGGGAAGAAUGGGGCCGGCGGGUAAGUGGAGCAGUGUUUAGGUGGGUCCGCACCAUGGGACCCAGUGCGCAUGAGAGGGGGUAGAGUGGGGCUGGGUAAGAAAAGUUUUUCCGGGUAUUUUUCGGGAAAAUUAGAUAUCCUUUAGGAAAGUAAUUAGUUUAAAUCCGUUUUACACCAUUUAAAUCACAGAAAUUUCUAGGAGUGUCCAAAAUUAGUGAAACCAAUUUUGUUAGGCUUGUUUUAUUUCCUUUAUGCAUUAAAAUUUUUACACCCUAGAAAAAUAAUAAAAAUUUGGGUAUUUAUUUAAUGCCUUCUUUUUAAGGUAAUUAAAUAAAUACUUAAUAUUUAUAAAAUAUAUAAAAUAUGAAAUAACACUUUAUUAAUCACAAAUUAUUCUUAACUCAUAGGAAAUUAGAUUUUCAAGUUAGAAAAUAAUUAUGACUUUUUCUAAAGAUAAAAGAAAAAGCUAUAAGGAGGGUUAAGUAAGAAAAAUAAAAUUGUGGGUUUAUGUGUGUUGGCUUGCAACUUUAUCAUGAUAGGUUGUAUAGUCCUUGUUGGCUUGCAACUUUAUCAUGAAGGAAAGUUGCAUAGUCUUUUAUUCAAAAUUUUGCAUUUCUAACCCCUGCAUGUAUUAUGCUAUAGAUCCCGAAGCACCAGAAGGAGAAUAUUUGGAAUUUUCAGAAGGACCUUCGGAGUUCGAAGAAGUUUUUGAGUUAGUCCCCUGUGAAGCCAACCCGUCAUAGAAUACUAACUUUUUAAGCGAACAAGGCAAGCCCCGGUGCAUUUAUACCUAUCUAUUUUGGAGUUGUUAUUUCAUGUGUCUAAUUAUCGGUUAUUUGCUUUAUGUAUGCACUAAGUCUAGGAGUUGCUUGAAACCUAUUCUUGUGUAUGAUCAUACGUUGCUUUAAGGACAUCUUUGCCACUUGUUCAAACCUUAGAAGAUAACCAAAGUCUAGAAAUGCUUAGUUGCUUAAAUGCUUGGUUUACCAACCUUAAGGAAAACUUUUGAGUCAUACAUGUUGCUUAUGAAAAUAGCUUGGAAAGUUGAAAGCGGACAGAAACUAGAGGUGUAGUAUUGUCUGCUAGAUUAAUUCGGUUAAGGCCCGAUUCGUUGUCUUAACCUUUGAUCAAGUGAUAAGCAUAUGAUCACUUACUGGGUAUGGGACCAGUAAAGCCCAGUAGGUUAGUAAACUCUAUGAUUAGGAAUACUUCGUACUCGCGCUUGACGUGCUGGAGAUUGGCAGGGGUGUAGCCUGAAACUCACAUGGUGAUCAGGCCAGACGUGGGGUCCCAUGUGGGGGUGCAUCCCUGGGUUCGGGUAGUCGUAUUCCUAAUCAUUGAUUUUGCUAAUCGAGAGGUUGUUAGAUAUGACCUGGACAGUCGUAUAAAGCUGGUGAUCAGGGUACUCUCCUGCAGGAUGUAACUAGAUCCAGAUCACCGCAAUUCUCGGUUAUGAAUGCACUUGAUCACUAUUGAGCAUCGUAGUAUCAAUUCAUGCAAUAUAUAUACACCUUUGGUUGAUAUUUGAUGUAUGACUUAACAUCUAUGGUUGUUUUUACUUUCUGUUAUCAUUUAGAAUGGUUAGGUAAUAACUUAACCCAAAUAAAAGAUAAAACUAAGGCAUUACUCAUAGUAAGCUUUUCGGCAAAAGUUAUGUUAGCCAAACACACCCAAAAGCUAGCAUGCAUUCCAAAGAAAACUAUUAUAUUGGUUAGUCGGGUAAGACUUGUUGAGUACCCCGUACUCAGGGUUUUCCCCUUGUGGCUAUCUUUCAGAAGCUCCGCAGGAGUCUACAGAGGAGGAGACCCCGAAGUCCUAGGGUAUUGUCCUGAGUCUCACAAUACCCCUAGAAAAGAAGUUUUACAUGCGCAUCUUCUCCUGAACUGUUUAAAUCUUAGAACUCUGUCUAACACUGCACUGUUAAGUUUGUUUCAAUCUAUGUUCUGUAAUAACUCGUACCUUUUAUAUGUAUGUAAAAAUGUAAUGUUUGUUGAUGUUAUCCCAUCGCGGAUACUAUCCUGAUGUAUGGCUAUGAGAUACGUCGUGGAUCCUUCGAGGAGUCCUAGGGACACUCGACGGACUACCGGACUUAUGCUGUUUAGGUGCGUUUCGGAUAAUUGCUGUUCCGACAGCGAUUAGGCGCACUUAAACCAGCUUAAGUUGGGCGGUUCCACCACAGCUGGUAUCAGAGUCGUAGGUUGGGAUAAUCAACAGAUAUUACCUUUUAAAAACUGAGGCUCUACUUUAAAAUAAUAAAAACAAGAGUCACAGGUGGCAAUAGUGUUAACUGGUUGUUUGUUUUGCAGAUGCUAACUGUUUGCUGCGUAUCGCUAGUAUUCGGUAGUCUGUUAUUUAGGGAGAGAUUACGAUGCCACCAAUUUUCCUACGAGUGUGUAUAUGAGUCUGAAAGUACGUAGGAAUCGUUGCAUCAUGUUUGCAUUGCAUGUUUCAAAACUUUUGGGUUUGGUGAGUGCCGUUAGACCUGAUCCUGUUUCUUUUAUAGGAUGUUUGAAGAAGGCUACACUGAUAAGGAUGGAUGGACCCGCGGCCAUUACUUGGAUAAGCCGGGAUUCGUGCAUUUGCUUUGGAAAACGCUACAAGAAUUGGGCUUUCACAAUCCCCCGGAAUAUUAUUGAAGGAAAGAAGAUACAGGCCACAAACAAUAUUGCACUGUGUAUGUGCAUAUUCCGGAUGAUGACACCCGUCCCAAUUAGCGUCUGGAGGAGGUGAUGGAGUUGGGUUUUGAGUUCAUCGACACCAUAGAAAGGGCGGCUAUGACUGCUCUUACUGAAUUCACAAGGUGGAGGUAGGGUCGAGCUCCGCUCGGUUCUACCCUAUCAAGCAUCAAGAUGACGGGAUAUGGAGGAGAAAGAUUAAAGCUUUGAAGAACACUUCUAGAGUAGAGCACGAUGUUUUGGUUGCUGCUGCUUCUGAUUAUAUGACAGCUAUGUACAACUUGCAUCAAGCCUGCAUCAGAGAAUAUUAUAACCAGAGGCAGAAGAAUGAAGACGCUAAGAUGGAGUUGAUGGGUGCCCGACAUGACAAGGAGAUGUACAAAAAGGCGGCGUUGGCAAGAGAGCAUGACAUGGAGAAAACGAUGAGAGAGCAAUCCAGAAGAAUUGAGGAUUAUGAAGAAAAACUCAGAGUGAUGCAAGGGUUCAUUGAAGCCACCAGGAGCAUGGCAGAUAGAGCGAGGGAGGAAGCUGAAUCAAAUGUCAAUAGGUUGGAAGCGGAAAGAUUCCAACAGCUAGACGAGAUCCUGUCACUUCGUCUAGCUUUGGAAGAGAUGCAGGCCCAGGUACCUGCACAAAAUAUUAUCAAUGUUCCACCGCCUCCACCACCAGAAGAGCCUCAGCCACCGAACCCGGAGGAAGCGGAUCAAUUAGUACCUGUGGUAGAAGUGGAAGAAGAUCCGGUUCCACCUGCAGUUCCUGAGAUAGAUCUGUAUGCUCAUGAGAAUCUGGAGGGAUUUGACGUGGAUAUGGAGGACGACCAGGGUGAAGCCCCUGCGGGAAAUCAACAGUUCGCUUAGGCUAAUGCCAAUGCUGAUGGGCUAGAUCCUCAGGGCUAUGGACCCAUGCAGCAAUGGGAAGAAGAGGAACCAGAAGGCGGAGAAGAAGAAGAGGAUCCUGAAGAAAUGGAAGGAAACUCUGGAGUUAGCACCUCCGCAUCUGAUACUUCCUACACUUUGAGCGACCCCAGGCUGGAGUCCGGAAGUGAAAAUUCAGUCAAUUAAGCCCCACCCGUCGCUCUCCCAGGGCAAACAUUGAUGACAGUAGACCAAGAUAUCCUGCAGGCGGCAAUGGCUCAACUGGGACUAAAUGCCGAGGAACUAGGCAUUUUCCCCUAUGAUGGUUGAAGUGAACUUUGUCUGAAAAAUGUUGUAAUAUAUUUAUGUAAGAUAUGUGUGUUGGACAAGUAGUAUGGAGGUUUUUGUAAAAAGUAACUCCAGGGCAUGUAUUAUAAAUAAGUAUGUGUAUAAGUAUGGUUUGUGUGUGAUCGUACUCGAUGUGUGACAUAAUAGUGUGCAGGAAACCGUUGAUAAAUUGUACCCUAGAUAUUAAUAUCCUGUUUACUCUUGGCAGCAUGACGGAUCCCAGAGGACCACGAGCUUCAGGUUCCGGAGGUCAGGAGGAGAAUUUACCAAGAGCACCCACGCUGGCAGAUGCUAUAGCCAGCCUUAUGAACUCCGGGGCAGAACAGGCCCGAUUACUCCAGAUGAUCGUACAGAACACUGGUAAUGGUGGACAUAGGCGGGAUCCGGAGCGGGGUGUGUCCUACACCCAAUUUCUGGAAACCCGUCCCCCAAUAUUCUUGAAGGCCGAGCAUCCACUUGAAGCUAACGAAUGGCUUCAGACUAUGGAACAAAAGUUUCGAGUAAUUCCCCAAUGCACCACCACUCAAAAAGCUGAAUUUGCAGGGCUCCAGCUUCAAGGUCCCGCAGGGACCUGGUGGACCAGCCAUCUAGCCAGGCAGCCAGUUGGAAGGGAGGUUACGUGGGAGAAUUUUAAGGAAGCCUUCCGGACACAGUUUGUGCCGGAAGGUAUCAUGAGAAUGAAACUGGAACAGUUCUUAGGGCUGCAACAAGGAAACCGUAGUAUUCUGGAAUAUACCAGUGAAUUCGACUACCUAGCCCAAUAUGCACCAGAACAUGUCAACACUGAGUCCAGGAAGAGAGAUUGCUAUCUUCGAGGACUCAACGGAAGAAUGCAGGAAAAGUUGUCCACCUACACUUUCGCCGACUAUAGCUCUGCGGUAAGUACGGCCAUUACCGUGGAAGAAAAGAUGAGAAUUUUGGAUGAAACCUUGAAGAAAGAAGAAGCAUUGAAAAGGAAAAAUAUUCCUUUUGGCAACUUUGGGAAUGCUCCACAGAGAAUGAAGAUGGUAUAUCGAGGUCCUCCUCGACCCAUGUAUCGACCUUCCUUUCAGCAACGGCCUUUCCAAUCUUGGAAUGCUAGAGCUCCCAGUGCUGCCCCUCAUCCUGGAAUUGCACCACCUCUUGGGUUUCGUAACCCUACUCCUCCAGGAACUCCACAGGUUUGUUUCAACUGUGGAAAGCCAGGACACUUCGCCCGGGACUGUCGUUUUCCCAAGGUUGGGGGAAACGCAAACUUAAGGGCUCAGACCUCGGGCCAAGGCACUGGACAAAGGUUUGUCCGUUGUAAGUUCGUCAACACCAAGACGGGACAAGCUCAUUAUAUGAAUGUAGAAGAAAUUCCAGAAGGAGAGCCUAUCCUGGCAGGUAUGUAUCUUGUUAAUGAUUAUCCUGCCAUGGUUUUAUUUGAUUCAGGCGCAUCGCAUACUUUUAUAAGUAGAAGAUUUGUCACACAACACCAACUAGAGGUCCAUACAUUAAAUGUCAAGUACGCUAUUCAAGCUACUGGGGCCACACAGAAUACAAAUCAAGUAGCUCGCAAUGUGAUUUUAAACCUAGAAGGAAAUAAGGUGGGUGCUUAUCCUUUAAUUCUGGAAGAUCAAGGAAUAGAUCUUAUUUUGGGAGUAAAUUGGAUGAAGGAACAUAGAGUUCAAAUUGAUAUGAUUAAUCAGGUCGUUAGCAUGAAAGAUGACCAAGGCCACUCUUUUGAGCUCCAAUUACCCGCUCAUCCUUGUUUGGACCAGAUGGUCAAAAAGACUAGAGCAGUAACUCUAGAAUCUAUUCCUGUGGUUAAUGAGUUUAUAGAUGUAUUUCAAGAGGAUCUGCCUGGGCUACUGCCUGAUAGAGCGGUAGAAUUCACUAUUGAGUUAGAACCCGGCACCGCUCCUAUCUCUAGAAGACCAUAUUGAAUGCCACCUAAGGAGCUAGCAGAAUUAAAAAUACAACUCCAAGAACUGUUGGAUAAGGGUUUUGUCCGACCUAGCACUUCACCAUGGGGCUGCCCGGCUCUAUUUGUUAAAAACAAGGAUGGCACAUUAAGGCUAUGUGUGGAUUACCGCCCUUUGAAUGCAGUAACCAUUAAAAACAAGUAUCCGCUGCCACGAAUUGACUUGUUGUUCGACCAGUUGUCCGGAGCUAAGGUCUUUUCAAAAAUCGACCUUCGGUCAGGGUACCACCAGAUUAAGAUAAAACCCGAAGACAUACCAAAAACAGCCUUUUCAACCCGAUAUGGACUAUAUGAGUACUUGGUUAUGUCUUUCGGACUGACAAAUGCCCCAGCGCAUUUUAUGUACCUCAUGAACUCAGUAUUCAUGCCGGAGUUAGAUAAAUUUGUGGUCGUCUUUAUAGACAAUAUCCUUGUCUUUUCUAAAAAUGAAGAGGAACAUGCGCAACACUUGUGCAUUGUUCUAAAUAGACUCCGGGAACACCAGUUGUAUGCCAAGUUCAGUAAGUGUGAAUUUUGGUUAAAGAAAGUUCCAUUCCUUGGGCACAUACUGUCCGAAAAAGGAAUCGAAGUAGAUCUCGGAAAGGUCAAGGAUAUACUGGAUUGGAAAUCACCAACCUCUGUUCAUGAAGUAAGAAGUUUCUUAGGAAUGGCCGGCUAUUACCGUAGAUUCAUCCCCAAUUUUUCAAAGGUUUCUAAACCAAUCACGGAAUUAUUAAAGAAGGAAAUAAAAUUUGAAUGGAAGCCUGAGUGUGAGGAAUCAUUCCAAGUCUUAAAGAAAUUGCUGACUACAGCCCCAGUGCUAGCUCAACCUGACAUAGAGAAACCCUUUGAUGUAUACUAUGAUGCCUCAGGGACAGGCAUAGGGUGUGUUCUGAUGCAAGAAGGCAGAGUUAUUGCUUAUGCUUCGCGUCAAUUGAAGCGGCAUGAAGAGCAUUACCCUACCCAUGAUUUAGAACUUGCUGCCGUAGUGCAUGCAUUAAAGAUAUGGCGACACUAUCUUUUAGGUAGUGAAUGUCGUAUCUUUACUGACCACAAAAGCUUGAAAUACAUCUUUACUCAAAUAGACUUGAACAUGAGGCAAAGGCGGUGGCUAGAACUGAUUAAAGAUUAUAAGUUAGAAAUCCAUUAUCAUCCUGGUAAGGCUAAUGUAGUGGCCGACGCCUUGAGCAGAAAGGCCCAAUGCCACUGCACUACCGUCCGGUCUAACCUUAAGACCUUGUGCGAGGAAAUGGAAGACUUGAGUUUGGAAAUGGUGAAACAAGGCACCCUUCAGAAUAUUAUGAUCCAAGAUACCCUAAAGGAAAAGAUUAUAACAGCCCAAAAAGAAGAUCCAUGGAUUAAGAUACUUUAUCAGCAAAAAGCCAAAGGGAAGAUCCCCGAAUUUAAUCAAGAAGAGGAUGGAGGACUGUACUUCAAGAACAGGAUAGUAGUUCCUAAAGAUGAGGACCUAAGAAGAUUAAUCUUAAAAGAAGCACAUCUGUCCAAGUUUGCCAUCCAUCCCGGAAGCAAUAAAAUGUACCAAGAUUUAAAGCAAAGAUGUUGGUGGGCCAGGAUGAAACCUGAAAUUGCAAGGUAUGUAGCUGAAUGUGAUACUUGCCAAAGAGUUAAGCCCAUACUACAAAAGUUGGCAGGUUUAUUACAACCUUCAGAAAUCCCUGUCUGGAAAUGGGAAGAUAUUUCUAUGGAUUUUAUAGUUGGAUUGCCUACCACAUCAAACGGGUAUGAUUCCAUCUGGGUUAUUGUCGACCACCUUACUAAGUCAGCUCACUUUAUUCCAGUCAAGACUACUUAUCCGGUGUCGACAUAUGCCAAGCUCUAUAUAGCCCGGAUCAUAUCCUUGCACGGAGUAGCAAAGACCAUUAUCUCUGAUCGAAGUUCCCAGUUUGUUUCCAGAUUCUGGGAACGAUUGCAAAAAGACAUGGGUACUACCCUAAUUAGAAGUUCUGCCUAUCAUCCUCAAACUGGAGGACAGACAGAAAGAGUCAAUCAAAUUUUGGAAGACAUGUUAAGAGCAUGUGUCCUUACCUUCUCUAAGCUAUGGGAUGAAUGUUUGCCCCUAGCCGAGUUCUCCUAUAAUAAUAGCUAUCAAGCUAGCAUUAAGAUGGCACCUUUCGAAGCCUUGUAUGGUCGAAGAUGCCGAACUCCUUUAAAUUGGUCAGGAGUAGGAGAAAGGACACAUUUGGGAUCAGACUUGGUUAUGAAAACUGAGGAGAAGGUCCAGAAGAUUCGCAAACAUUUAGAAGUAGCCCAGUCCCGACAAAAGAGUUAUUCGGACAAAAGGAGACGGUCCUUGGAAUUUCAUACCGGAGAUUUUGUGUACUUGAAGGUAUCUCCAAUGAAAGGAGUACAACGCUUUGGAGUGAAGGGUAAGUUAGCCCCAAGAUAUAUUGGUCCCUAUGCAAUUCUGGAACGAAAAGGUCCAGUGGCAUAUAAGCUGUCGUUGCCAGACCAACUUGCUUCUAUACAUGACGUAUUUCAUGUAUCCCAGCUCAAAAAGUGCUUAAGAGUUCUAGAAGAAGUUUUAGAAGAUCCAGAGAUUGAGCUCGAGUCCGAUCUAACCUAUGAAGAAAGACCUAUUAAAAUUCUGGAUCAAAAGACACGAGAUACCCGAACUCGGAGUAUCACGUUCUACAAGGUACAAUGGAAAAAUCAUACUCCGGAUGAAGCUACUUGGGAACAAGCUGAAGACCUAGAGUCUAAAUAUCUGGAAUUAUUUGAAACCGUCAGGAACAGAUGAACAAAAGCCACCACCCCACUAUCCUUGUACAGAAAAAGAAAGAAUAAUUGACCUGACGCAGUUUCCUUUCCAUUCUCAAAACCGAGGAUUUAACCCCGCGAAUCUCGGGACGAGAUUCUAUUAAGGGGGGGAGGCUGUAACAGCUGCCAAUUUAGUCAUCUAAGUGACUUUGAAAAAUUAAAAGCAAAUUGAGAAGAAAAGAAAAAGAAAUUAGUUGAAAAUCAAAUUCGGAUCAAAUUUGGCCAAAAUUUGAAUUUUGAAUUUGAAAUUCGGAAAAAUUCAGCAAAAAUGUGGAAUACAAGUGUAAGAGUAACCAGGACUUAAGGAUCAAAAAUUUGGAACAGAAAUGGUGCUAAAUAGCUCAGAGAAAUCAAAGAAAGAAAAAGGAAAACUGAAGUUACUGUUCCUCGUCUGAAAAUAGAAUUUCAGAAAAACAGCCUCAGAGUCCAUUUUGGAAAUUGAUUUCUGAAGAACUUUUCAAAUAAAUGCAUCAGGAAAACUAUACCAUGUUGAAGUAUGAACUUUGGGCUACAAGAUUUGGGUGUUGUUGGCCAGGAACAUGGAAGGGAACAAUUUUGAAAUCUAGCUCAAAUUCAGCACAUUGUCACAGUUGGCUGUCAUUGAAAAUGCUUAAGUCUGAAAAUAGCAGCAUCUGAUCAACUUUGGAUUUAAUUUCAGAGAGAUGGAGAUCAAAAGGUGUACAUGUUCAUGAGUAAAAUGGAACCUUGGGAUGUUGUAGAAUACAUUUGGGAAAAAGUUGGACUGGAAGAAAAAGAAUUAGGUCACUAAAUUGAUUCACCAAGUGAGAUCGACGUCACUGUCAGUUAACUGACGAACUGAAUUUUUGGAUUCAGUCAAAUUCAGACAGACACGAGAAACAAUUCCAAAAUUCGUCCGGUUUGAUGUUUAUCUCGGGGUAGAGCCAAAAUAAAAGUUGGAGGAUUCAAGUUUAUCUCCAACUUUGUUUCAGCAACUUGGGGACCCUUGGAUUGAAAAUCGACCGUGGGAGUACUCUGAAGUUUCGGGCGUUAAAAGAAAAGGGGGGGGGAGGCGGUGAUAGAGCAGCUGGACGUGUCGCCGCCGCCGUCGUCGGUCGCUCGCCAGCGCAGAUAGCUAGGCCACCUCCUCACAACGCAAGCCUACGAGUAGGCCACGGUGUCGCCCAUGCGCGCGGUGAACGCUUGAAUAACUACCGCUCCCGCGCCGCCGUUUCUACCGCUAUCUUUUUACCACCGCCGCUCCUCUGUCAAGCACCGCCGCCGAGCAAAAUUCCACCACCACGCCUCACCUCCCGUCGAUUCCUCUCGCCCACUCCUCCACAGACACCUCAGCUACACCCCAGCCAAGUUGUUGUCCAACAUCCAUGCCGGAGUAACCGUGCUCGCCGUUGUUUUUGUUCGCCGUCGCUGCGCCGCCCGCUCACGGUGAGCCCUACCUUGCGCUGUUCUCCAUCCUUCUUAAGUAGUCGUAGGCGAGUCCUUAAGGUCCUAGGGUGGUGUAGGAGUAGUUGUUCGAGUAGUUUGUGCCGUCGUCGUGAGUAGUCGCGAUCGGUCGGAGGUGUCGCCGCUCGUCGCCGUGGAGGGAAUGGCUCCGGCCAUCUCCCGAGGAGCUGUUGCCGCGCACGGGUGUGUGAAGGUGUAGAGGUGCUGUCUGGGCCUAGCUUCGCCGCCGGUGGGGCGCCGGCCGACGAGUCGCGCCGCCCCCUGUUGCGCGCGCGUUUUGGCGGGAGGAGGAAGAAGCUCCUGGGCGCUUGGGCCCGCGUGGCAGAGAGAGGAAGGAGAGGAAGGGGAGAAGGGGGCUGGGCGCGCGGCCGUCUGUUGGGCUGCGGCCUUGAGGCCCAGUAGCGUGCGUGCGGGCGACCGGAAGAAAAAAAGGGCGAAGGCCCAGAGAUCCAGUAGGCCGGUUUCGCGGGAAAAGAAGAAAAGAAAGGAUGGGCCGUUGGGCCGAUGUUGGACCAGAGAAAAGAAAAGAAAAAGAGAAUUGGCCCACGAGGCCCGUUAAGGGAAGAAUGGGGCCGGCGGGUAAGUGGAGCAGUGUUUAGGUGGGUCCGCAUCGUGGGACCUAGUGCGCAUGAGAGGGGGUAGAGUGGGGCUGGGUAAGAAACGUUUUUCCAGGUGUUUUUCGGGAAAAUUAGAUAUCCUUUAGGAAAGUAAUUAGUUUAAAUCCGUUUUACACCAUUUAAAUCACAGAAAUUUCUAGGAGUGUCCAAAAUUAGUGAAACCAAUUUUGUUAGGCUUGUUUUAUUUUCCUUUAUGCAUUAAAAUUUUUACACCCUAGAAAAAUAAUAAAAAUUUGGGUAUUUAUUUAAUGCCUUCUUUUUAAGGUAAUUAAAUAAAUACUUAAUAUUUAUAAAAUGUAUAAAAUAUGAAAUAACACUUUCUUAAUCACAAAUUAU
RNAcentral lists this long non-coding RNA (11348 nucleotides) under Setaria viridis. Its description in RNAcentral is "long non-coding RNA (SVIR_LNC009338)". Lineage: Eukaryota; Viridiplantae; Streptophyta; Magnoliopsida; Poales; Poaceae. The record is from RNAcentral.